AAGACUACACUUCUCGGUGUUAUUUCCGUAGUUCAUUACUUAGAGGAGUUUCCCCAAGUGUGUAGAGCACUGGAAACCACAGGUAGAGACACAAUGUUCUCUCCUAAUCUCGAAGCUGGUUCCUGCUGUUGUUUCGCUACAACAGCCAUUUGCGAUUGAUGAUUGUUUUUUAAUUCCUUUGGUGAGAGGAAGAGGAAGAGGACACAGUCUGAAUGAU
Molecule: non-coding RNA, 217 nt
Organism: Callithrix jacchus (white-tufted-ear marmoset)
Lineage: Eukaryota; Metazoa; Chordata; Mammalia; Primates; Cebidae
Source: Rfam